CUAAGAAUCUUCCGCAAUGGGCGAAAGCCUGACGGAGCGACGCCGCGUGGGUGAGGAAGGCCUAACGGUUGUAAAACCCUUUUCUGCGUGAGGAAUAAUUGUUGGAGGGAAUGCCAGCAAGAUGACGGUAGCGCAGGAAUAAGCCCCGGCUAAUUACGUGCCAGCAGCCGCGGUAACACGUAUGGGGCGAGCGUUGUUCGGAAUCAUUGGGCGUAAAGGGCGUGUAGGCGGUUACGAAAGCCUGGUGUGAAAGACUGCAGCUCAACUGCAGGAGCGCGCUGGGAACUGCGUGACUUGAGUUCUGGAGGGGGAGUUAGAAUUCCAGGUGUAGGGGUGAAAUCUGUAGAUAUCUGGAAGAAUACCGGUGGCGAAGGCGAACUCCUGGCCAAGAACUGACGCUGAGGCGCGAAAGCGUGGGGAGCGAACA
This 427-nucleotide ribosomal RNA is filed under the name uncultured bacterium. RNAcentral's name for it is "bacterial SSU rRNA". It matches the Rfam family "Bacterial small subunit ribosomal RNA", at positions 355 to 774 of the family's 1533-position model. The record is from RNAcentral.